Molecule: non-coding RNA, 248 nt
Organism: Pteronotus mesoamericanus
Lineage: Eukaryota; Metazoa; Chordata; Mammalia; Chiroptera; Mormoopidae
Product: small Cajal body-specific RNA 6
Exons: 1
Source: RefSeq, a predicted model, not a curated record
AGUAUGAUUACACCUCUAAGAAUGUAUGUCAUCAUGAAAAGCCCAACGGUCCAGCUGCCUUGCUCCCAUCAGGCUCCCGUAGUGUUUUGAUGGGCAAAGGACAGCUGACACCAGGUGAUGUCCCAGGUCUGUGCUUCUUGGUGAGCCUGGGGAGGACAUGUGGUUGACAUCCUACAGCCAAUCUCAAAGGGACAUGGUUGCUGUGAGUAAGGUAUCUGAGGCUCGGAUCUGACUCUCAAGCUGAGACC